Non-coding RNA from Schistosoma rodhaini, 48 nucleotides. Lineage: Eukaryota; Metazoa; Platyhelminthes; Trematoda; Strigeidida; Schistosomatidae. The record is from Rfam.
AUCCAGUUGAUGAGCCCCAAAUAGGACGAAACGCACGUCAAACUGGAU